GACGAACGCUGGCGGCAGGCUUAACACAUGCAAGUCGAGCGCGUAGCAAUACGAGCGGCAGACGGGUGAGUAACGCGUGGGAACGUGCCUUUUGGUUCGGAACAACUGAGGGAAACUUCAGCUAAUACCGGAUAAGCCCCGAGGGGGAAAGAUUUAUCGCCAAAAGAUCGGCCCGCGUCAGAUUAGGUAGUUGGUGGGGUAAUGGCCUACCAAGCCGACGAUCUGUAGGUGGUCUGAGAGGAUGAUCACCCACACUGGGACUGAGACACGGCCCAGACUCCUACGGGAGGCAGCAGUGGGGAAUAUUGGACAAUGGGCGCAAGCCUGAUCCAGCCAUGCCGCGUGGAUGAAGAAGGCCCUAGGGUUGUAAAGUCCUUUCGACGGAGACGAUAAUGACGGUAUCCGUAGAAGAAGCCCCGGCUAAUUUCGUGCCAGCCGCCGCAGUAA
This 447-nucleotide ribosomal RNA is filed under the name uncultured bacterium. Its description in RNAcentral is "partial 16S ribosomal RNA". It matches the Rfam family "Bacterial small subunit ribosomal RNA", at positions 28 to 523 of the family's 1533-position model. The record is from RNAcentral.